GCGGUGGUAGCUCAGUUGGUAGAGCAUCAGCCUUCCAAGCUGAGGGUCGCGGGUUCGAUCCCCGUCCGCCGCU
This 73-nucleotide transfer RNA is filed under the name Gammaproteobacteria bacterium. RNAcentral's name for it is "tRNA-Gly". It matches the Rfam family "tRNA". From Rfam's summary of the family: Transfer RNA (tRNA) molecules are approximately 80 nucleotides in length. Their secondary structure includes four short double-helical elements and three loops (D, anti-codon, and T loops). Further hydrogen bonds mediate the characteristic L-shaped molecular structure. tRNAs have two regions of fundamental functional importance: the anti-codon, which is responsible for specific mRNA codon recognition, and the 3' end, to which the tRNAs corresponding amino acid is attached (by aminoacyl-tRNA synthetases). tRNAs cope with the degeneracy of the genetic code in two manners: having more than one tRNA (with a specific anti-codon) for a particular amino acid; and 'wobble' base-pairing, i.e. permitting non-standard base-pairing at the 3rd anti-codon position. Lineage: Bacteria; Pseudomonadati; Pseudomonadota; Gammaproteobacteria. RNAcentral also lists the same sequence under 1 other name. The record is from RNAcentral.